RNAcentral lists this ribosomal RNA (587 nucleotides) under uncultured bacterium. RNAcentral describes it as "bacterial SSU rRNA". It matches the Rfam family "Bacterial small subunit ribosomal RNA", at positions 338 to 917 of the family's 1533-position model. The record is from RNAcentral.
CCUACGGGAGGCAGCAGUGGGGAAUAUUGGACAAUGGGGGGAACCCUGAUCCAGCCAUGCCGCGUGUGUGAAGAAGGCCCUCGGGUUGUAAAGCACUUUCAGCGAGGAAGAACGCCUAGCGGUUAAUACCCGCUAGGAAAGACAUCACUCGCAGAAGAAGCACCGGCUAACUCCGUGCCAGCAGCCGCGGUAAUACGGAGGGUGCAAGCGUUAAUCGGAAUUACUGGGCGUAAAGCGCGCGUAGGUGGCUUGAUAAGCCGGUUGUGAAAGCCCCGGGCUCAACCUGGGAACAGCAUCCGGAACUGUCAAGCUAGAGUGCAGGAGAGGAAGGUAGAAUUCCCGGUGUAGCGGUGAAAUGCGUAGAGAUCGGGAGGAAUACCAGUGGCGAAGGCGGCCUUCUGGACUGACACUGACACUGAGGUGCGAAAGCGUGGGUAGCAAACAGGAUUAGAUACCCUGGUAGUCCACGCCGUAAACGAUGUCGACCAGCCGUUGGUUGCCUAGCGCACUUUGUGGCGAAGUUAACGCGAUAAGUCGACCGCCUGGGGAGUACGGCCGCAAGGUUAAAACUCAAAUGAAUUGACGGA